RNAcentral lists this ribosomal RNA (679 nucleotides) under uncultured Alphaproteobacteria bacterium. RNAcentral describes it as "bacterial SSU rRNA". It matches the Rfam family "Bacterial small subunit ribosomal RNA", at positions 24 to 747 of the family's 1533-position model. Lineage: Bacteria; Pseudomonadati; Pseudomonadota; Alphaproteobacteria. The record is from RNAcentral.
UCAGAGCGAACGCUGGCGGCAGGCUUAACACAUGCAAGUCGAACGGGCUUCUUCGGAAGUCAGUGGCAGACGGGUGAGUAACACGUGGGAACGUGCCCUUCGGUUCGGAAUAACUCAGGGAAACUUGAGCUAAUACCGGAUACGCCCUUAUGGGGAAAGGUUUACUGCCGAAGGAUCGGCCCGCGUCUGAUUAGCUUGUUGGUGGGGUAACGGCCUACCAAGGCGACGAUCAGUAGCUGGUCUGAGAGGAUGAUCAGCCUCACUGGGACUGAGACACGGCCCAGACUCCUACGGGAGGCAGCAGUGGGGAAUAUUGGACAAUGGGCGCAAGCCUGAUCCAGCCAUGCCGCGUGAGUGAUGAAGGCCUUAGGGUUGUAAAGCUCUUUUGUCCGGGACGAUAAUGACGGUACCGGAAGAAUAAGCCCCGGCUAACUUCGUGCCAGCAGCCGCGGUAAUACGAAGGGGGCUAGCGUUGCUCGGAAUCACUGGGCGUAAAGGGCGCGUAGGCGGCCGAUUAAGUCGGGGGUGAAAGCCUGUGGCUCAACCACAGAAUUGCCUUCGAUACUGGUUGGCUUGAGACCGGAAGAGGACAGCGGAACUGCGAGUGUAGAGGUGAAAUUCGUAGAUAUUCGCAAGAACACCAGUGGCGAAGGCGGCUGUCUGGUCCGGUUCUGACGCU